Neofelis nebulosa (Clouded leopard) is the source of this 1753-nucleotide long non-coding RNA. RefSeq lists it as uncharacterized. The transcript has 2 exons. The record is from RefSeq and is a predicted model, not a curated record. Lineage: Eukaryota; Metazoa; Chordata; Mammalia; Carnivora; Felidae.
ACCUGGUAGAGACGGGGAGGUCAAUUAAUCUGCAGUGUGGGCUUACUGUGCAGGUCUAUAGCCAAGUGCAAGCAUAAAGUCUCGGUGGGGAGAAACAAUUUUUAUUUCCCUUUUACAGAUGAGGAAACUGAAGCUCAGAGGAAGAUAAUCAAGUAAGAGUGAAUGACUUUCUUUGAAACCAUUUGAAAAUAAAGUGAUGGAGUUCACAUUUCAUGUACAAGAUUCCUGAGCAGCAGUGUAAAAGGAGGAAAGCAGAUUAGUCUGCCAGCAGCACCCAGGACUUGCCAGCAGGAGGAACAAUCAGAGGCUGGAAAGUGUCUGUGAAUAUCACAUGUGUUCAAUAAGAGGCAGCAAGAAUGGACAGAAAUGGACCUCAGAGAGGCCCUUGAGGGGAAAGCAGCCAGGACCUCACAGGGAAGCGUGGGCAGUAACGAAAGGAUGCCACCAAAACAAGCAGUAGAGCCUGGGCACCCAGAAAGCACCCAGUCAACAGCAAUUUGGUUCCUGCCCUUACUGAUGGCUGAAGAUCACAGGGCAAUGGAGCUAGCUGGAGGUGUCCAGUCAAAUUCUGGGUGACUGGAAAGUGUGACAGAAAGGGAGCAAGCCUGGAGGAACUCUGGGGAGUGGGGUGACCUAUCCCACGAUGGACACAUUAAAUCUGGGGCAACAGAAGACAACUUAGUAGGAACUAAGCGUGUCUCCUGGCUAAUCGUUUCCGUCAACCACAGUCCCGUUUCUGAACAUAAAGUAGAAUACUGCCCCAUGACAGGCUCAACAGCCCAUUCACCCUUGUACCCCCAGAACCUCAGCACAGAGCCUAGUCUGCAGCAGGUGCCCAGUGAGUGCCUGACAAUGAAAGGAAUUAAGAGGAACAUCCACUGAUCCCAUUAGAGGGAACUCAUGCAGAAAACAGUGCACCAGGUCCACACAUAUGUACGAAUCAGACAGCACAGCUGGGCAGCUGCAAACUCUCAGGAGAGACAGCAAUUCGAAGCAGGCCCCCUACUCCUACCCCUCACAUCACCAGCCAGAACUCAAGAGAAUGAUCAUCUUCAAGGAUGCCAGUGGUGAAAGCCAGUGCUCCGUACUCCCUGGGCACCACACUAAACCCUACAAGCUUUAACUCGUGUUGACACGGGCCGCCUGUGACAGCCUAUGAACUAAGCCCAGGGCUUGGCAAACUAUAGCCCAUGCGCCAAACAAAUCCAGCCCACCACUUGCUUCUGUACAGCCCUGGAGCUCCAAAUGGUUUUUACAUUUUUAAGUAGCAGGAAAAAAUAAAAAUCUUUUGAAACAGGUGAAAGUUAUAGGAGAUUCAAAUUUCAGUGUCUGCAAAGUAAGUUUUACUGGAGCACAACCAUAUGCUUUCAUUGGCUUCUUCUGGGGCUGCUUCUGCACCACAAGAGCACAGGAGAGAGGUCAACACCAACACCACGUAUGGCAUCUCAUCUCUGCACCACUGUGGGCACACCACAACUCACAAGGAUACCAUUAUAACUGGACAACGUUUCAAGCGCCACCUAUCUCACGAUCUGUGUGAAAGAGGUUUUCAAAGACAAAUAGGUAAAAUCUCUUCCCAGAUCAAUGCUAACAAGCAUUUGCAAAUGAGUUUGAUGAUUUAGAAUACUAUAACUUUUAACCUUAACUGAGCAAAAUGUUAUCCUCAAAAAGAGGAAUCCAGUUCUUCCCAUCAGACCUGUAUUACAAAAAUGCUAUAUUCAAUUAUUAUAUUCUAAGCUUUAUGGCCUAAAAA